This 348-nucleotide ribosomal RNA is filed under the name Cambarus cf. deweesae Crooked Creek. RNAcentral's name for it is "partial 16S large subunit ribosomal RNA". The stretch from base 43 to 348 matches the Rfam family "Bacterial large subunit ribosomal RNA", at positions 2048 to 2565 of the family's 2925-position model. The record is from RNAcentral. Lineage: Eukaryota; Metazoa; Arthropoda; Malacostraca; Decapoda; Cambaridae.
ACAAGAAAUAAUCUGUCUUAGAUUAAUAUAUUGAAUUUAACUUUUAAGUGAAAAGGCUUAAAUAAUCUGAAGGGACGAUAAGACCCUAUAAAACUUUAUAUUGAAAAGUGAUAGGUAUGGUUUGUUUAAAGUAAUUACCUUUAAAGUAUUUGGUUGGGGCGACAAGAAUAGAAUAGAAAGUAACUGUUUUUUUUUUUUUACAAUGAUGUUUGGGUGGGUGAUCCUAAAAUGGAUUAAAGAUUAAGUUACUUUAGGGAUAACAGCGUAAUUUUCUUUAAGAGUUCUUAUCGAUAAGAGAGUUUGCGACCCCGAUGUUGAAUUAAAGGUUCUUUAUGGAGUAGAGUCUAU